AGUGAACGCUGGCGGUAGGCCUAACACAUGCAAGUCGAACGGCAGCACAGUAAAAGCUUGCUCUUACGGGUGGCGAGUGGCGGACGGGUGAGGAAUACAUCGGAAUCUACUUUUUCGUGGGGGAUAACGUAGGGAAACUUACGCUAAUACCGCAUACAACCUACGGGUAAAAGCAGGGGAUCUUCGGACCUUGCGCGAUUUAAGGAGCCGAGGUCGGAUUAGCUAGUUGGCGGGGUAAAGGCCCACCAAGGCGACGAUCCGUAGCUGGUCUGAGAGGAUGAUCAGCCACACUGGAACUGAGACACGGUCCAGACUCCUACGGGAGGCAGCAGUGGGGAAUAUUGGACAAUGGGCGCAAGCCUGAUCCAGCCAUACCGCGUGGGUGAAGAAGGCCUUCGGGUUGUAAAGCCCUUUUGUUGGGAAAGAAAAGCAGCAGGUUAAUACCCCGCUGUUCUGACGGUACCCAAAGAAUAAGCACCGGCUAACUUCGUG
This 492-nucleotide ribosomal RNA is filed under the name uncultured bacterium. RNAcentral's name for it is "partial 16S ribosomal RNA". It matches the Rfam family "Bacterial small subunit ribosomal RNA", at positions 29 to 507 of the family's 1533-position model. The record is from RNAcentral.